AUUGAACGCUGGCGGCAGGCUUAACACAUGCAAGUCGAGCGGGGUGAUGGUGCUUGCACUAUCACUUAGCGGCGGACGGGUGAGUAAUGCUUAGGAAUCUGCCUAUUAGUGGGGGACAACGUCUCGAAAGGGAUGCUAAUACCGCAUACGUCCUACGGGAGAAAGCAGGGGAUCACUUGUGACCUUGCGCUAAUAGAUGAGCCUAAGUCGGAUUAGCUAGUUGGUGGGGUAAAGGCCUACCAAGGCGACGAUCUGUAGCGGGUCUGAGAGGAUGAUCCGCCACAAGGGGAUUGAGACACGGCCCAGACUCCUACGGGAGGCAGCAGUGGGGAAUAUUGGACAAUGGGGGGAACCCUGAUCCAGCCAUGCCGCGUGUGUGAAGAAGGCCUUAUGGUUGUAAAGCACUUUAAGCGAGGAGGAGGCUCUUUUGGUUAAUACCCAAGAUGAGUGGACGUUACUCGCAGAAUAAGCACCGGCUAACUCUGUGCCAGCAGCCGCCGUAA
RNAcentral lists this ribosomal RNA (503 nucleotides) under uncultured bacterium. Its description in RNAcentral is "partial 16S ribosomal RNA". It matches the Rfam family "Bacterial small subunit ribosomal RNA", at positions 30 to 523 of the family's 1533-position model. The record is from RNAcentral.